AGAGAGACGUGAUAACACAGCUAACAGCAUCAGCACCCCACAGAAUUAAACGUCUUUGGAGACGUGUGGUGCGCAGGAACUAACAUACACAACAAUGUGCUGCACUCAGGAGAGGACAACAAUUCGCUUGACCUGUCAAACAUGUUAGAUAACUUCUGUUGUCACCAUUUAUUUGUCCCAAGACUACAACUAAGUUUUCACACCAUCAGCAGUGGCUGGGAUGACAAUUCACUCAGAACUGAGGGGAAUCUAACACUCAGUCAGUUAUGGAAGAUGGGAAGCAUCCAGCAUGCUGUGGUAGAACCAGAAAUCACAGAGGGACUCUGCCUGCCUCAUAUUGACUGGAACAACAGUGGAC
This is a long non-coding RNA of Fundulus heteroclitus (mummichog), 358 nucleotides long. RefSeq lists it as uncharacterized. The transcript has 3 exons. NCBI's taxonomy places the organism in Eukaryota, Metazoa, Chordata, Actinopteri, Cyprinodontiformes, Fundulidae. The record is from RefSeq and is a predicted model, not a curated record.